CAAGUCGAGUGGGUUCAGACCCACGGCAGACGGCUGCGUAACACGUUGGAACCUUCCCCGAACUCAGGAAUAACCCCGCGAAAGCGGGGCUAAUACCGGAUAGUCCCGAAAGGGUAAAGAUUUUUCGGUUCGGGAGGGGCCUGCGGCCUAUCAGUUAGUUGGUGAGGUAACGGCUCACCAAGACAAUGACGGGUAGCUGAUCUGAGAGGAUGAUCAGCCAGAAUGGAACUGCGACACGGUCCAU
This 244-nucleotide ribosomal RNA is filed under the name uncultured bacterium. RNAcentral's name for it is "partial 16S ribosomal RNA". It matches the Rfam family "Bacterial small subunit ribosomal RNA", at positions 58 to 334 of the family's 1533-position model. The record is from RNAcentral.